This 292-nucleotide unclassified non-coding RNA is filed under the name Hevea brasiliensis (rubber tree). Lineage: Eukaryota; Viridiplantae; Streptophyta; Magnoliopsida; Malpighiales; Euphorbiaceae. The record is from RNAcentral.
UGAAGUGGGUAUUGGGUGUGGUGUAAUGUAUGCAAGGGAUGUGAAGAAAGAGAGAUCUGAUACCAAGGGGAAGGGGGUUUUGAAUCAGAAGGUGAGACAUGCUCUUAGGCGUCGUAGGAAAGGUGCUACUGACAAUGGGACGUCGCCUUCUGUUUCAACAUAUGAUACUUUUCAGUGGGAUGCACAAUCUCUUUGUCCGUCUCCUGCCAGCGUCAGUAAAAUGGUGAAUGAGGGUAAUGAAGACAGCAUGGUACCUGAUAGUUCUGGCGGCCUUGCUCUGAAUUAUGGCGGG